This 492-nucleotide ribosomal RNA is filed under the name uncultured bacterium. Its description in RNAcentral is "partial 16S ribosomal RNA". It matches the Rfam family "Bacterial small subunit ribosomal RNA", at positions 29 to 507 of the family's 1533-position model. The record is from RNAcentral.
AGUGAACGCUGGCGGUAGGCCUAACACAUGCAAGUCGAACGGCAGCACAGUAAGAGCUUGCUCUUACGGGUGGCGAGUGGCGGACGGGUGAGGAAUACAUCGGAAUCUACUUUUUCGUGGGGGAUAACGUAGGGAAACUUACGCUAAUACCGCAUACGACCUACGGGUGAAAGCAUGGGAUCUUCGGACCUUGCGCGAUUGAAUGAGCCGAUGUCGGAUUAGCUAGUUGGCUGGGUAAAGGCCCACCAAGGCGACGAUCCGUAGCUGGUCUGAGAGGAUGAUCAGCCACACUGGAACUGAGACACGGUCCAGACUCCUACGGGAGGCAGCAGUGGGGAAUAUUGGACAAUGGGCGCAAGCCUGAUCCAGCCAUACCGCGUGGGUGAAGAAGGCCUUCGGGUUGUAAAGCCCUUUUGUUGGGAAAGAAAAGCAGCAGGUUAAUACCCCGCUGUUCUGACGGUACCCAAAGAAUAAGCACCGGCUAACUUCGUG